This 666-nucleotide ribosomal RNA is filed under the name Alexandrium tamarense. Its description in RNAcentral is "eukaryotic LSU rRNA". It matches the Rfam family "Eukaryotic large subunit ribosomal RNA", at positions 43 to 651 of the family's 3401-position model. Lineage: Eukaryota; Dinophyceae; Gonyaulacales; Pyrocystaceae. The record is from RNAcentral.
UAAGUAAGUGGUGGAAAUUAAACCAAAUGGGAUAUCUUUAGUAAUUGCGAAUGAACAAGGAUAUGCUUAGCUUGACAAAUGGAGCUAUUGGCUUUGAAUUGUAUUGUGGAAAUGUAUUACCAACAGAGGUGCAGGUGCCAGCCUAUUGAAAUAAAGCGUCAAUGAGGGUGAGAAUCCUGUUUGUCAUGUGCAGCCCUUUGUGCACGGUGUAUAUUUGCUGAGUCACACUCCUUGGCAUUGGAAUGCAAAGUGGGUGGUAAGUUUCAUGUAAAGGUAAACAUGCAAUUGAGACUGAUAGCACACAAGUACCAUGAGGGAAAUAUGAAAAGGACUUUGAAAAGAGAAUUAAAUGAGUUUGUAUUUGCUGAACACAAAGUAAACAGACUUGAUUUGCUUGGUGGGAGUGUUGCACUUGCUUGACAAGAGCUUUGGGCUGUGGGUGUAAUGAUUCUUUCUUUGCAUGCCGGUUUCUAUUUGUACAUCUGAUUACCUUUGCACAUGAAUGAUAAGUCUCCUGUGGGGGGUGGAUUGCAUGUGCAUGUAAUGAUUUGUGUUUUGAUAAAUGUGUCUGGUGUAUGUGUGUGUUCCUGUGCUUGGGGAUGCUUCCUUCCUUGGACUUACAAGCCCUGACACACACAUGCUGGCAAAAUGCUUCUGCUUGACCCG